CCUACGGGAGGCAGCAGUGGGGAAUAUUGGGCAAUGGAGGCAACUCUUACCCAGCAAUGCCGCGUGAAUGAAGAAGGUCUUCGGAUUGUAAAGUUCUGUAAUCGGGGACGAAAAAAAUGACGGUACCCAAGGAAUAAGCCCGGGCUAAACACGUGCCAGCAGCCGCGGUAAUACGUAGGGGGCAAGCGUUGUUCGGAAUGACUGGGCGUAAAGGGUUUGUAGGCGGGGUUGCACGUUAGAAGUGAAAUACCUAGGGCUUAACCCAGGUGCUGCUUCUAAAACUGGUAUACUGGAGUGCAGUAGAGGAGAGUGGAACUCCUGGUGUAGCGGUGGAAUGCGUAGAUAUUAGGAGGAACAUCAGUGGCGAAGGCGACUUUCUGGACUGUAACUGACGCUGAGGCACGAAAGUGUGGGGAGCAAACAGGAUUAGAUACCCCAGUAGUC
Molecule: ribosomal RNA, 444 nt
Filed under: uncultured bacterium
Lineage: Bacteria
Description: partial 16S ribosomal RNA
Rfam family: Bacterial small subunit ribosomal RNA
Source: RNAcentral